CAGUCGCCGCGGGAACACGUAGGGUGCGAGCGUUAAUCGGAAUUACUGGGCGUGAAGCGUGCGCAGGCGGUUCGUUAAGACAGAUGUGAAAUCCCCGGGCUCAACCUGGGACCUGCAUUUGUGACUGUAUAGCUAGAGUACGGUAGAGGGGGAUGGAAUUCCGCGUGUAGCAGUGAAAUGCGUAGAUAUGCGGAGGAACACCGAUGGCGAAGGCAAUCCCCUGGACCUGUACUGACGCUCAUGCACGAAAGCGUGGGGAGCAAACAGGAUUAGAUACCCCAGUAGUCCCUGUCUCUUAUAC
Molecule: ribosomal RNA, 301 nt
Filed under: uncultured bacterium
Lineage: Bacteria
Description: partial 16S ribosomal RNA
Rfam family: Bacterial small subunit ribosomal RNA
Source: RNAcentral